This 253-nucleotide ribosomal RNA is filed under the name uncultured bacterium. RNAcentral describes it as "partial 16S ribosomal RNA". It matches the Rfam family "Bacterial small subunit ribosomal RNA", at positions 524 to 776 of the family's 1533-position model. The record is from RNAcentral.
UACGGAGGGUGCAAGCGUUAAUCGGAAUUACUGGGCGUAAAGCGCACGCAGGCGGUUUGUUAAGUUGGAUGUGAAAUCCCCGGGCUUAACCUGGGAACUGCAUCCAAGACUGGCAAGCUAGAGUCUCGUAGAGGGAGGUAGAAUUCCAGGUGUAGCGGUGAAAUGCGUAGAGAUCUGGAGGAAUACCGGUGGCGAAGGCGGCCUCCUGGACGAAGACUGACGCUCAGGUGCGAAAGCGUGGGGAGCAAACAGG